GGGGGGAGCAAGCGUUGUUCGGAUUCAUUGGGCGUAAAGGGCUCGUAGGUGGCUUUGUAAGUCGGAGGUGAAAUCCCACGGCUCAACCGUGGACACGCCUUCGAAACUGUGAAGCUUGAGGCUGGGAGAGGAAAUCGGAAUUCCUGGUGUAGCGGUGAAAUGCGUAGAUAUCAGGAGGAACACCGGUGGCGAAGGCGGAUUUCUGGACCAGUUCUGACACUGAUGAGCGAAAGCCAGGGGAGCAAACAGGAUUAGAUACCCUGGUAGUCCUGGCUGUAAACGAUGGGCACUAGGUGUGGGAGGAUCGACCCCUUCCGUGCCGCAGUUAACGCAUUAAGUGCCCCGCCUGGGGAGUACGACCGCAAGGUUG
This 370-nucleotide ribosomal RNA is filed under the name uncultured bacterium. Its description in RNAcentral is "bacterial SSU rRNA". It matches the Rfam family "Bacterial small subunit ribosomal RNA", at positions 527 to 896 of the family's 1533-position model. The record is from RNAcentral.